This is a long non-coding RNA of Corvus hawaiiensis (hawaiian crow), 5260 nucleotides long. RefSeq lists it as uncharacterized. NCBI's taxonomy places the organism in Eukaryota, Metazoa, Chordata, Aves, Passeriformes, Corvidae. The transcript is spliced from 3 exons. The record is from RefSeq and is a predicted model, not a curated record.
CCCUGUCGACAGGAGUUGUGCAGCCUUUUCAGGUUAGCCCUUGUCAGCCACAUGACAAACCCCUCUGUAGGUCAGUCCAGGCACAGAUCAGACGCUUGCCUGCAGCUGCCAAUCUUCUGCCCUCCGGUCUCUGCUACCGGUGCUUCUCCUGUCUCUCGCUUCGGUCAGUGAGAAUGAGAUAAGAGCUAUCCCUGUUCAGGCGCCAUCUUGUUGACUCCGGCGAGGGAGGACAUGCAGACAAUCAGUGUGAUUGAUAAUGCAAGCUUCGGUUUAUUGAAAUCAAGACUCUGCUUUUAUACACUCAAAUAUGCAUACUUGUCACUUCUCUAUUGACGCUGGGUAAAAAGCUACAUUUUGCACGUACUGCUAAUGUUGCGAUUUGGGAAAUCAGGAUUCUUCCUCAUCUCUCAUGGUCAGUACAUCUUGUCAGCACGUCCUGUUGUUUAUCUAUAACAGGAUUGUCAAGAACACUGUGUUUGUGUCCUUGCCUUCUUUCUUUAUUCUCAUGAUUUCUGUUCUCACGAUUUCCUUUUUCUGCAGCUAGCAAAGGCCUGCUUAUAUCAAGCUAAAAAGGUGUUUGCUUGUACAGCUCUUCCAGGGACCCGUGUCCCUGAUCCUCCAACCAUUCCUCAACAAAUCAUAGCAGCUCAUGUGUGGAAAGUAAGAAACCCAUAAGAACUAAGUGAACUUACCACAAAGGUUCCCACAGUUUCCACUAUGAAACACUCUAAUCCCAGUGACAAAAUCGGAAUGGAGAUAAGGUGUCAGCAAUUACUCCAGAAGUAAAAUACUAUUACUCCAGAAGUAAAAUACAUCCUUAGAAGUGUUUUCCUUGUCUGAUGCUUGUGCAUUGCUUGCUGAAGGGGGUAGGUGGGUGACCAGUGAAGCUUGGCUGCAGGGUGAGCCCUGAGUGACUUGUUCAGGGGCCGCCUGUGCUGGCACCCCACCUCCAGCCCAUGCAGGGUGAUGGCAUGCUGCCUGGUGCUGGCCCUUCAGGGGUGGCUAUCACUCCACCAGUAUAUGCUACCAAGAAUCCAACAUGCUCCAGCAUCCAGAUCAUCAACAAAAUAAUGGUUUUCUUCACUUGUAUGUAAGCAAGACUAGAAAAACAGAGAACUGCUCAUCUAGUAAAAUGGUAGAAUUUUACCAGUGCUUUGGUUUUUUUUGCAGAUUGUUUUUUUAGAAAAGCAAUGAAGCCUGUGUGGCAUUCGACUGUAUUUAAUUAACCUGGUCUUUUUUAUCUCAUUUCUGCCAUUCUACAUGCAUUAUUCUAUACAAAAACUUCCCCUACAAACCAAAACAUGUUCCUGUGUCAGGUAACUAGUUCGCAUUCCCUCCUAUGGAAUAACAUCAAAAGGAAAGCAUGAAAACUGUUGUGAGAAGGUAGGACUUGUCUGCACAGCUCUGUGGCAAAGCCCCUCAACCCAAACCCUGUCACAUUUUACUCAUUUUGGUACACAGACCAUAUUCCUCUUUUCCAGACAUGGAUGUAUGUGAAGUUUUUCUAUUGCUAGAGGAAGAGUACAGAGAGGGAGUGUCCACAGCAGCCUCUCUAGACCAUCACCUCACAGAAAUUUUCAAAACUUAGAGAGAUUUCUACAGGUAAAUUUUCCAGCUUUUAGAUUAUUUAUAAGUAGCACAAAGCAGAUGCUUUGUAAAGAAAAAAAUAAAAAAGAAAAACUGAUCGUCAAUAUUUUUAUGAAGAUUUUUGUCACUACUUCCCUGUCACCACCCCCUCCCAGGGGCUACAAAGGGCAUAGUGCCAGCCGUGGUACCCCAUGCUCCUCUCACUGAUGUGGAAGGCAGGUCAUGGGUUGAAUGAAACUACUCUUGCUGGAGAGUUUUCCUGAAAUCAUACAAAAUUGCUAUGGGAGUUUCAGAAAUCAUUUUGGUGUUUUCAUCUGUGUGAUGUCUAUCCUUGUUGCCCAUGCUAUUUUGUGUUAAAUUGAAUCCUACUGACCCACAGCAUAAUUUCAGAGUAUUGUUGAAGAAGGAAUUCUUCUUUGUGUUCGUAUUCUUGGGUCUUUUCUUUACAAUUAAAUUGUUGUGAAUAUAUAUUUUGUAAGAAUAUCUGUGAUUUGUUUAGAACUGAAGACAGCUUAAAACCUUGUCUGGCAUUAUUUGUGAUUUUUUCUUUUGGGGGUGUGAAAGCCCUACCACUGCAAACUUUUCCUAUCAAACCUCACAGGAUUAUGGUUGCAACAACUAACAUAAACUACUGUGCAUUUUGGCACAAUCAGGCUGCAGUUAAAAACUUUUUUUUUUUUUAACACUUGGUAAAAAUGUUGCUCUGGCCAAAGGAAGGAAAAGUUUCUAGCAGUUGUGCAGUCUGCUGACACCCACAGGGGAGACAUCUCAUACAGCCCUUGAUUGCCCAAUUGAUGAAAUGAAGCCUUCAUUCUCAAUGGAAAAUUGCAAAAUAAUGAAAAGUAUUAAUGCGCUCAGCUCUGGCAGCCACGUAUCCCCUGGCUGAAUACUUUCAAGCCAUUGCCAGGAGCGGGUGAUUCUGCAAUGACAGACCUUUCCCAUUAACUUCCCCAAGCUGCACUUUUACCAAAACAAAAAGUCUCCCGUGGCCUGGAGAUGCCAGCACAGCUCACUUUAGUUCACACGGUGUUUGGUGCUCUGCCAGGCAGCUCACUACAAGCUCUCUCCUCUCUGUGGAAAGGAGCUGCUAUACCUGCAAAAAGCCCAGGGUUUUUCCCAGGCAAGCUCAUUGUAUCUGUCUUGACAAACACAGCAGAAAAGGGCUGUUUGGGAAGCCCCAGGUGCUCUGAUUGAAGCAAAAGAGUAAAGCAACAGUUGAAAAAUCCUUGCAGAAAUGUAUUGAUUUAGAUUCAGGGUGGUUUGGAUUAACAAUUGAAACUUCCAUAAAAUCAAAUUACCCUGGUUUUGCAAAGACAUCUCUUGCUAGGAAAAAAAAAGGAAAAAAACAUGCACAUCCACUCUCCCCUUAUUAAUUUAAUCAGUAACCAUAGUGGUAGUUUUCUGAAAAAGUGGUUGUUACUUUUGAUUAAAUCAUAAUAAAGUUGGUGAUUUUUUAAAACAGCAUUUGAAUUUUUGCAGUUUCUUUUGGAAUCAUAUAGGCUGUGCUAUUUAUUAUUAGGAGAUUGACUAAAAAUAUCUAUACUUCUGUUACAAAUUUAAAUAUACAGGGAACUGUAUUUAUUAUCCUAAUACAAUGUAUAUUAAAAAAAAAAACCUGUGUUUAUUUUGUGUCUGAAGUAUUUAAGUAUCUUCCUGGCAUCUUUGCUAAAGUGCUUUGGAGGUAUCAGUUCCAAAAUGCUGCAAAAUGUUGUAAUUAGAUAUAAAGUGAAAGCAAAUUGGAAAUAUAUGUAAAAAUUAUAAUUUAACUAUAUUAGUCUACCACAAUUGAAGUGGACUACGGAAAGAAAAGAACAGGACAGUUUCUGGGUUUAUAAUCACUUAGGGGUAAAACACAGAAGAAAAAAGGAAAAAAAAUGCAAAAUGUCUUUACAUCUGUAUUUCAUGCUGAAUUUAAUAAAUCACAGUUUGGGGAGAAAAAUGCAGGGAUUUGCGUCACAAUUUUUCUCAUUGAACUAAGUCAUUUUUACAAUGCAGCCAUUGCAUAGCAGGUCCUCUUAUCACAAUAACAAUGCAAACACUGGAAUAAUUGCAAUCUAUAAACCAUUCUGGAUUUCUAAACAGAAAUAUGAAAAACAAAUCAGUAAUUCAAACAUUAUUUAGUAUGGAUAUGCAAUACAUGCAACUAAGUGGCACACUGUGCUGGGUGGGGGUGAUAGCUAUUAGUAUUGAAUUAUUCAGGCCUUUUAUUCUCCAAACUAUUUUAGUCUGCUUGAGUAAAAAACUUUCUGUAGAGCAAACUAAAAACUGCUAUUUUGAUAUUUACAACCAUUAAUGUUAUGCCUCACAUUAAAAAAAUUUAGUUUACAGCUCCUUCAGCUUCAAGUGAUUUGAAGGGGGAGACGAGUGACAGCAUCUGCUUUAAAACAAAUAAUAAUAACAUUUCGAUGAUUUCUCUGUCAGGUCUAUACUGACAGGGCUUUUCCGACCCGACCCGUCCUGGUGAGGAAGGAUGUUCCCAAGCUUCUGGGAGGCUGUAGCAAAACGAGAGAGCGACUUCACGGCAUACUUGCUCCUCCGCCCUCCUCCUCCUUGCCUCCUGCUUUCCUUCGUUCUCAGCUGCUGAAGAAGUGGCCGGGAAGCCUCGGGGUGGCAGAUCCUCGAGAGAACCUCCCCACCCCUUUCUCGAAGGACUGCAGCCGCCCUGGGCAGGCGCUCCCCUCCCCAAGGACAUGCCAAAUGCUUCUCCUAUCCGCAGUUUCUGGAGCGUUCGCACAGUUUUGAGGACCAGCAGAGCUCCGGGAAGGCGUCAGCAUACAUAUCCUGGGAGCCACCCAAGGGAAGGACAGGAUGGCAUGGGAGGCUGGAAGGAAUGCGUUAAAACCCUGUGCUUUUUCCCCUUUGCAUGGAAGUAGUUGGAUGUCUUUUGCACUUUUUGUCUGGUAAGUGUUGCAGGACCAAUCUGGCAAUAAUUACUGAAUUAUUUGUCAUCACCUGUUUUUUUCACACAUCAUCUUGAUACCUCCUUUCUUACUUUCUGCAAUGAUGAUCAGAGCCUGAGAAUAAAUCCUCUACGUCACAAAUGCUUUUAUGUAUUUUCAGUAUUUCUGGUUUGGUCUUUAAAAUCAUUUUGCAGUCCAAUACAAUGUGGAGUUGAUUUUUGUUUCUUUGUCUUUAGACUAAAAACUAUUUAACAUGGUCUCUUCAACAAAAAUAUUCAUUUCCAUGAUAGGUUAUUUUUGUUAUUAAAUAAUAAUUGUACUAACAUCUUUUAAUGGCAAAUGCAAAUAAUGUUUUACUACUACUGUAAAAUUCAUCUACACACAGAUGAUGAAAUAAUGAAAGAAAAUUAGUUUAAUACAAUGUGUGAAUGAGUGUUCAAGAAAAAUAAAUGUGAGACUUCAUUAUUUUGAAACAUCGUGGGAGAUAGAUUUUUUUCUUUAUUAGUAGUAAGUACAAAACUAGCUUCAAAAAAUUUUCCUCCAUAUGGUUGUAAAAGUCAUAGUGAUAAUAAGUUGCAAUGAUAUUUUACCUUAAUUGUGGCAAAAGAAAUGACACUUUGUUUUGAAGGAAGAAGAACAAGUAACUGAGAUAAUGAUACCUUGGGUUUUAACUCUUAUAUUUUUCAAAUCCUGUACUGCCUAGUGUGUAACUGAAGUUUUGUGUGGCCUGUUAACUAUGCUCUCUCAUGAUGGUUAGACAUAACAAACCUGUC